UACGUAGGGGGCAAGCGUUGUCCGGAAUCAUUGGGCGUAAAGCGCGCGUAGGCGGCCCGGUAAGUCCGUUGUAAAAGUCGAAGGCUCAACCUUCGAAAGCCGAUGGAUACUGCCGGGCUAGAGUCCGGAAGAGGCGAGUGGAAUUCCUGGUGUAGCGGUGGAAUGCGCAGAUAUCAGGAGGAACACCCAUAGCGAAGGCAGCUCGCUGGGACGGUACUGACGCUGAGGCGCGAAAGCUAGGGGAGCGAACUGG
RNAcentral lists this ribosomal RNA (253 nucleotides) under uncultured bacterium. Its description in RNAcentral is "partial 16S ribosomal RNA". It matches the Rfam family "Bacterial small subunit ribosomal RNA", at positions 524 to 776 of the family's 1533-position model. The record is from RNAcentral.